UACGGAGGGCGCGAGCGUUAAUCGGAAUUACUGGGCGUAAAGCGCGCGUAGGCUGUUGUGUAAGUUGGGGGUGAAAUCCCACGGCUCAACCGUGGAACAGCCCUUGAUACUGCGCGACUUGAAUCCGGGAGAGGGUGGCGGAAUUCCAGGUGUAGGAGUGAAAUCCGUAGAUAUCUGAAGGAACAUCAGUGGCGAAGGCGGCCACUUGGACCGGUAUUGACGCUGAGGCGCGAAAGCGUGGGGAGCAAACAGG
RNAcentral lists this ribosomal RNA (253 nucleotides) under uncultured bacterium. RNAcentral describes it as "partial 16S ribosomal RNA". It matches the Rfam family "Bacterial small subunit ribosomal RNA", at positions 524 to 776 of the family's 1533-position model. The record is from RNAcentral.